Molecule: long non-coding RNA, 467 nt
Organism: Paralichthys olivaceus (Japanese flounder)
Lineage: Eukaryota; Metazoa; Chordata; Actinopteri; Pleuronectiformes; Paralichthyidae
Source: RefSeq, a predicted model, not a curated record
CUGUAAUCAGGCUCAUGGAGAAGCAUGUGGUCACAUCUCAACUGUUUCCUCUCUCUCUCUCUCUCCAUGUUGAAGCAGAGCUGUUCGGAGGACACGUGUGAAUGGGUCGGGUGUUCAUUAUGCUGUCGUCCUCCCCUGAACACGGGGAUCAGGAAAUCUCGGCAGUGACAGGCGAGACUUUUCACCUGAACUGCUGCAGAACCCGAUGGUUUCCUUCUCACUGCGUCUUAUUUCCCCGGACUGACUCAUGUAAUCCCACUUCUCCUGUUUCAUAACCACUGUGCUACACAGCAAAAAGGAAAAAUGGAUGGGCAGGAUUCCACUGAAAGAACUCAACUCGAUGGAAGGAAGCAGUUUGGUUCUGGGAAGAACCCGAUGAACUUUGGUGCAGAUCCAGGAAUUUAUUUUGCUUCUUCAGGGAAUAAUUGUUGGAUCUAGGUGAAAAAAAAAGGAAACUGAUAUUUAUG